UACGUAGGGUGCGAGCGUUGUCCGGAAUCAUUGGGCGUAAAGCGCGCGUAGGCGGCCCGGUAAGUCCGCUGUAAAAGUCAAAGGCUCAACCUUUGAAUGUCAGUGGAUACUGCCGGGCUAGAGUCCGGAAGAGGCGAGUGGAACUCCUGGUGUAGCGGUGGAAUGCGCAGAUAUCAGGAAGAACACCGACGGCGAAGGCAGCUCGCUGGGACGGUACUGACGCUGAGGCGCGAAAGCGUGGGGAGCGAACAGG
Molecule: ribosomal RNA, 253 nt
Filed under: uncultured bacterium
Lineage: Bacteria
Description: partial 16S ribosomal RNA
Rfam family: Bacterial small subunit ribosomal RNA
Source: RNAcentral